AAGUCGUAACAAGGUUUCCGUAGGUGAACCUGCGGAAGGAUCAUUACUGAGUAAAUUGGGUCUCUAUGGCCCAUACUUCCCACCCUUUUGUAUACCUUACCAAUUAUUAAGUUGCCUUGGUAGGAAACCUACCUUCCCUUAGGGGAAAAGUAAGCCUACCAUUGGAACUCUCUUUAAACUCUUUUGAAUCGAGUCGUCUGAGAAUAAAUUCAAAUGAAUUAAAACUUUCAACAACGGAUCUCUUGGUUCUG
Molecule: unclassified non-coding RNA, 251 nt
Filed under: fungal sp.
Lineage: Eukaryota; Fungi
Description: partial internal transcribed spacer region
Rfam family: Eukaryotic small subunit ribosomal RNA (bases 1-46)
Source: RNAcentral